Molecule: non-coding RNA, 47 nt
Organism: Pelodiscus sinensis (Chinese soft-shelled turtle)
Lineage: Eukaryota; Metazoa; Chordata; Testudines; Trionychidae
Source: Rfam
UCAAUGGUUUUUUUUAAAGCCACAUUAAAGACAUAAACAAACCGAGU